This 253-nucleotide ribosomal RNA is filed under the name uncultured bacterium. RNAcentral describes it as "partial 16S ribosomal RNA". It matches the Rfam family "Bacterial small subunit ribosomal RNA", at positions 524 to 776 of the family's 1533-position model. The record is from RNAcentral.
UACGUAGGGGGCAAGCGUUGUCCGGAUUUACUGGGUGUAAAGGGCGUGUAGGCGGAUUAUUAAGUCAGAGGUGAAAUCUUACGGCUCAACCGUGAAAUUGCCUUUGAUACUGGUAGUCUUGAGUACGAGAGAGGAAGAUGGAAUUCCUGGUGUAGCGGUGAAAUGCGUAGAUAUCAGGAAGAACACCGGUGGCGAAGGCGGUCUUCUGGCUCGUAACUGACGCUGAGGCGCGAAAGCAUGGGGAUCAAACGGG